GGGCGGAUGGUUUAGUGGUAUAAUACUCCCUUAGCAAAAUUCAUUCAACUGAAAUAUCUGGGAGUGGUCCGGGGUUCGAUUCCCCGUCUGUCCA
This is a transfer RNA of Pochonia chlamydosporia 170, 94 nucleotides long. It matches the Rfam family "tRNA". From Rfam's summary of the family: Transfer RNA (tRNA) molecules are approximately 80 nucleotides in length. Their secondary structure includes four short double-helical elements and three loops (D, anti-codon, and T loops). The record is from Rfam. NCBI's taxonomy places the organism in Eukaryota, Fungi, Ascomycota, Sordariomycetes, Hypocreales, Clavicipitaceae.